GAUUCGUUUGACUAAAUCCAGCGUAACACAAUCAUUGAGUCCAAGAAUAGGUUUUGUAUUGCUAUUAAUGAUACAAAAGGGUACAUCUGCAAUUGAACCUUUUGAAGUUUUGCAUUUUAAGGUGGCCAUUCCAAUAGGUUUGAAGGUAAUUAGUCUCAACUGUAUCAUAAUUAUCCUGCAGUAUUUCUGAUACUUGUCUAUUUUUUGGUUUAUCAUGAGGUUUCUUUCUACACAUAUAUAUAUUGUAUAUUUUAUUCAAUAAAUCAUUU
Long non-coding RNA from Harmonia axyridis, 269 nucleotides. RefSeq lists it as uncharacterized. The record is from RefSeq and is a predicted model, not a curated record. The transcript has 2 exons. Lineage: Eukaryota; Metazoa; Arthropoda; Insecta; Coleoptera; Coccinellidae.